CAUACCAUUUGCAAAAGUAGACAACCCAAGGUAUUGCAAAUAGCGUAUGUCUAGUCUUUUUUAGUAGCCACUUGGUCACAAACACUGGCCAAAGUUAAUGUUAAUAUUUGUUUGUGUGUGAAAAACGCAAAAAACUAAUUUGAACGCCAAUUUUGGCCAGUAUUUGUGACUAAGUGGAUACUAAAAAGAUUGGACAUACCCCAUUUGCAAUACCUUGGGUUGUCUACUAUUACAAAUGGUAUG
Non-coding RNA from Pelobates cultripes (western spadefoot toad), 243 nucleotides. The record is from the annotation of a GenBank genome assembly. Lineage: Eukaryota; Metazoa; Chordata; Amphibia; Anura; Pelobatidae.